CAACUUGUCAACAGGAUGUGUUCGCACUGCUUGUUCUCAGCUUGUUGACAAGUUGUCAACGCCUUGUUGAAAACUUUCUACAAGGUUGUUGAACUCAACAGACUUGUUACAAGUUGUUCCAACAACUUGUUAUCGUCCUGCAAUUCAACAACUUGUCAACAAGUUGUGAGUGACAACCUUGUAGCAACUUGAUAAAAUAACAGCAUUGCUACAACUUGUUGACAAGCU
Non-coding RNA from Paramuricea clavata, 228 nucleotides. The record is from the annotation of a GenBank genome assembly. Lineage: Eukaryota; Metazoa; Cnidaria; Anthozoa; Malacalcyonacea; Plexauridae.